This 702-nucleotide ribosomal RNA is filed under the name Triticum aestivum (bread wheat). RNAcentral describes it as "partial small subunit ribosomal RNA". The record is from RNAcentral. Lineage: Eukaryota; Viridiplantae; Streptophyta; Magnoliopsida; Poales; Poaceae.
UUAAGUUUCCAUUAUGAAAAAGAAACGUUCUCUGUCGUGUCCUGGAAUGUACGAGGAUUAGGUGAUAAUGACAAGUGCGCUAACGUGUUCUCUGAAAUAAACCAAUUAAGGCCAUCAAUCACUCUGCUACAAGAAACAAAAUUGCAAAAACCAGAUUCCAUCAAACUAAGAUCGAUCUUACCACGCUUCCUAGAUUCCAAUAACCACCUCGAUGCAAUCGGAUCUGCCGGUGGUAUCCUAUCUGCUUCUAACUCUCGCUGCUUUUCGCUUCUUAACUGUCAACACAAACGUUUCACCUCCACCUUAACUCUAUCAUGCCUUGCCUCGCCACAUCACAUCUUCAUCACUAACGUUUACGCCCCCUCACAACGCGAACUAAAACUUGAAUUCCUAGACGAACUUAAGCAGAUUGAGCCUCCAAACCCAUCACCCUGGCUACUCAUUAGUGACUUUAACCUUACCCGAUUCCCUAAUGAGCGGAACAAUAACAACUUUAGACGAUCGGAAGCCGAUGCCUUCAAUGACACAAUUGAUCAACUGGCUCUAUUAGAACUCCCACUUCUAGACAAACAAUUUAGUUGGUCAAACAAAAGAUUAUCACCUACGCUAAUACGCUUAGAUAGAGUACUCAUUAACCUACCUUGGGAUGCUCUAUUCCCAAACACGCACCUAACCUCUCUUACUAGAUUCGUCUCCGAUCAC